Solanum tuberosum (potato) is the source of this 233-nucleotide long non-coding RNA. RefSeq lists it as uncharacterized. The record is from RefSeq and is a predicted model, not a curated record. The transcript has 3 exons. Lineage: Eukaryota; Viridiplantae; Streptophyta; Magnoliopsida; Solanales; Solanaceae.
ACCAUUGGCGAGGAGAAACUCCUUGCUUAGAUUCUCGGAGAAGAAAAACGCGAGGCUUGACUCUGGCUUGGAAAAUGGCAUAAUAAUUGCGCCUUUGACUAUUUGCUAUGAUGGAACGAGUGUGAGUUUCAAUAUAUUCAGUGAUAAGGUGGCAAAUAUUCUAGAGUUUGCAGAAAGGUCAGAAACAAGAGAUGCAGUUUCAUCCGAAAAACAAUUGUUUGUGGAAACAUUAA